RNAcentral lists this transfer RNA (73 nucleotides) under Camelus bactrianus (Bactrian camel). It matches the Rfam family "tRNA". From Rfam's summary of the family: Transfer RNA (tRNA) molecules are approximately 80 nucleotides in length. The record is from Rfam by way of RNAcentral. RNAcentral also lists the same sequence under 2 other names. Lineage: Eukaryota; Metazoa; Chordata; Mammalia; Artiodactyla; Camelidae.
GAGUGUGUGGCUCAAGGGGUAGAGCUCAUGCCUGACAUGCACAGGGUCCGGGGUUCAAUCCCCAGCACCUCCU